This 763-nucleotide ribosomal RNA is filed under the name Ambispora leptoticha. RNAcentral's name for it is "partial small subunit ribosomal RNA". It matches the Rfam family "Eukaryotic small subunit ribosomal RNA", at positions 350 to 1116 of the family's 1831-position model. Lineage: Eukaryota; Fungi; Glomeromycota; Glomeromycetes; Archaeosporales; Ambisporaceae. The record is from RNAcentral.
CACUUACGGGUACGGGGAUUAGGGUUCGAUUCCGGAGAGGGAGCCUGAGAAACGGCUACCACAUCCAAGGAAGGCAGCAGGCGCGCAAAUUACCCAAUCCCGACACGGGGAGGUAGUGACAAUAAAUAACAAUACAGGGCCCUCACGGGUCUUGUAAUUGGAAUGAGUACAAUUUAAAUCUCUUAACGAGGAACAAUUGGAGGGCAAGUCUGGUGCCAGCAGCCGCGGUAAUUCCAGCUCCAAUAGCGUAUAUUAAAGUUGUUGCAGUUAAAAAGCUCGUAGUUGAAUUUUGGGUCUGGCCGGGCGGUCCACCUUCCGGGUGAGCACUGUNCCNACGCCGGGCCUANCCUUCNGGNGANACGGCNNGCCCUUCNCNGGGNGNGUCGGGNAACCAGGACCAUUACCUUGAAAAAAUUAAAGUGUUCAAAGCAGGCGUUUGCUCNAAUACNUUANCAUGGAANAAUGAAAUAGGACGCGUGGUACUAUUUUGUUGGUUUCUAGGACCGCCGUAAUGAUUAAUAGGNAUAGUUGGGGGCAUUANUAUUCAAUUGUCANAGGUGAAAUUCUUGNAUUUAUUGAANACUAACUUCUGCNAAAGCAUUUGCCAAGGAUGUUUUCAUUAAUCAANAACNAAAGUUAGGGGAUCNAAGACGAUCAGAUACCGUCGUAGUCUUAACCAUAAACUAUGCCGACUAGGAAUCGGGCGAAGUUAUUCUAACGACUCGCCCGGCGCCUUAUGGAAACCAAAGUGUUUNGGGUAUCA